This is a long non-coding RNA of Cyprinus carpio carpio, 752 nucleotides long. The record is from Ensembl. Lineage: Eukaryota; Metazoa; Chordata; Actinopteri; Cypriniformes; Cyprinidae.
CGAACGUCAAGGCAGCAGGAGCUAACGUUAGCGCUCCACCAAGAAAAAAAAAACACUUUAGAAAGUUCUGAUGACGAAACAGACAUUGAGAUGAAGCGACAAUAUGAAAAAGCAAAAAGACAAAAAAAAGUUGCAAAAGAGAGGAUCCUCACUCAGUUGAAGGAUACACUGAGGAAACCACUCCACUCCACUCCAUGCAGAACCAAUCCAUUACAUAGUGAGGAGGAAGUUGAAUCCGAAAUGGUGGACACAAAUGUGGAUUUGUUCAAUUACCCAGGGAAUUCUCAAUCAACCAGACAAAAAAAGGUUGGAAAGGAGAGGGUCCUCACUCAGCUGAAGGAUACACUGAGAAAACCACUCCACUCUGAUCCACGCAGAACCAACCCGUUACAUAGUGAGGAGGAAGUUCAAGCCGAAACCGUGGACACAAAUGUGGAUUUGUUCGAUUACCCAGAGAAUUUUCAACCAACCGAUACCUUAGAUGCUGCUGAGGCAAGUGGAGAGAGCGUGGAACAGCCAUUAUUUGUCAGUGGUGAAGUGUUGAAAGCUUUGAAAGAAAUUCCCACCUUAGUGCAGUGUGUCAAGGAACUAAUAUCCUCAAUGAACAGAGGGAUCGAUACAGCAAGCACAAGCUCAGGGUCCUCCAGCUCAGCCCAAGAGAUGACACUGUCAUAUCUGAGUUUCCGGGCACGUCACAGUCCGAGGUUAGAGCCGUAAUACGGCGAAAGUGCAAUAACGAAAGUUUUGUUUCA